UCUGAGUAUCUGGUGAAUCUUUUAAUUUCAAACCCUGAAAUUCUGCCAAUAGGUAUCGGCAUGAUCAGGUAUCGUGACACAUGUGCUGAAGCCAUUCGUUUCUUCAAAAUGAAAAGCCCUAUUACCGAAAUAUCUGAUGCCUGCAGAAAGUUACUUGAAGUUAGUUGUGAGGAAUUGUUGCCUAGUAUAGUGAAAGGGGAUCAAUCCAAAUCUGUACUCUUUGAUGGUUGUAGACUUGCAUUAGCUUUGAGAAAGAUGAAAAACAGGGAGAUAAUGUGGAAAGUGAUGAGUCAAGUAUGGAUCGAGAUUCUGGCUUAUGCAGCUGCUCACUGCAGAGUGUUCCACCAUUCACAGCAGCUUGGGAGAGGGGGAGAAUUUCUGACUCAUGUUUGGCUUUUGAUGGCACACUUAGGAAUGACAGAGCAUUUCCAGGUAACUCAUGGCCAUGCAAGAGCUAGGUUCAAUGUUUCAUAGGCAUAGCUUGGGAUUAGCAUUUCAUUUGCUUUAAUACUUAUGUAGAUUAACCAUUCUAUUUGUUUGUUUUCUAUUUUCGUAAUUGAAAAAGUUGUGCCUUUCUGCCUAAGUUGGCACACAUUCACUGUCUGUACAUUAAUUAUCCAAUUUUCAUAUUUUUUUGUUCAAAAUUUUAUUGUAUAAUAAUAAUGUUCUUUCAGAAAUUUUUACUCUUGGGUUUCUAAAUAUGUCUUGCGUAAGUGAAAAAGUCAUGAAUGUGUAAUGUUAUAGUGGGUGAUACUGGUUCAAUCUUUUCAAAGUUAUAUCUAGGAAUAUAGUUCAUGUACAACACCUUUCCAAUUUCAUUUUUGCAAAGAGACUGUUUUAUGACUCAAGGAGAGAGCAAUUUCACACAUAAUUAGCUGUAACAAUGUAAGUAAGUGAGGUGAAAAUCUAACACCCAAUAUUAGAGCCCACACUAGGUGGACCUUCACCGGGUGUGUGUAGUGUGUGCUCUACUGCUCUAGAGACCAUGUUUCAGAUACUGACCAACCUCAAUACUGCUCUACUAUGUUAGUUACUACUUAGGGAAAAUGAAUUAAAAGCCCAAUGAAGUUUCCAAACCAUUCAAACAACCUCAAUCAUGUUUUGUAUUAAAAAAAACCCAACGAACUUAACUUUUUGUCUAAAAAAUCCAACAAAGUUCCAAACAGUUCAAAAAAUCCCAAUUUUGUUUUGUUUAAAUUCGUUGGAUUUUUUUUGAACAGUCAAAACAUGAUUGGAGUUCUUUAAACGUUUUGGAAACUUCGUUGGUCUAACAAGUCAUUUUCCCCAUACAGUAAUAAGCUAUGCCAUAUGUUUCUCUUAUUUGACUUUCAGGAAAGUGUAACUUAGUUAAGCUUUUUAGACAAAAGGUUAAGUUUGUUGGGUUUUUUUGAACAGACAAAACAUGAUUGAGUUUCUUUUGAACGGUUUAGAAACUUCAUUGGGCUCGUAAGUCAUUUUCCCUACUACUUAUGAUCAACAUGAUUGUCUUAUCGUUCCAUUUUUUACGACUUGUAAGUUGUAACACACUUGAUAUAUUGUUGAAAACAUGCAUCAAAUUUUGUGUGAUCAACCAUUGAAAUAUUUGGUGGGACAGGUGUAAGGUAAAAAGGGUUGUUGAAUUAGAAGUUGGAUGCAGAGUAUAUGUUUAUGGAUUUUCAAGCUUCUUAAUUAAAAAUUUUAAAAGCUUGUAAAAGUGCACUUAACUUACUGUUUGAAGUCUAAAUUGCAUAACAUGUUCGAUUAGCUCCAGACCUCCAGUAUAUAUUGUAUCGGUUCAUUGAGUUGCCAUCUGGACAGAAUAAAACCUGAGUCAUGUUUCAAGAGUCACAGAAAUUAACCAGUACUUGUAAAAUUAAGAAUAAUGUCUUUUGGGCUUUUCUACUCAAUUCUUUAAAAGCCACAGGCUCUUGAUGCACUAGGGUCACAAUUUUACUACAAGUAAACAAUGAAGAGAACAAAAGAAAGGGAACUUGUGGUGGAUGCAAGUAAAAAACAACUCUAAACCUAUUCUGAAAAUAAGUAACUGAAACGAAACACAGAGUGACUUGAAAUCAAACCUGAAGAUUGAAUUUUGUUUGGAUCAAAAGUAGUUGGCUAUCAUGCUUAUACUCAACAUUAAGACCAGACUAACAGGUGUAUCGUGAUAUAGAGCAGUGGGUGAUUGAUGCCUUAAAAGGCUUAAACUAAACCAGAUGGGUUCGAGAAAACUAUAUCGAUUAUUUUUUUGCUCUCGGUCUGCCUAAACAAGCAGAUAACCGAAAUUCCGCACAUGGGGGGAUACCGGGAUGCUACUAUUCAUGAACGCCGGAAAGCUGAAGUCUACCAUUUAGACAAGAAAACGGUAAAAAAAAACUAGAAAACGGGUGAACAGAAACACUGAAGCAUGAGCUUACAAACCGAAGGUAGCACGGUGUAGAUAAAGAGUUGAUAACUCACAGUUAUGCAGAGGCAAUCUCUGGAUGAACCAUGGGAAGCUGAAACCAUGAAUUAUGAACGUUCGUUUAUACUUCAAGAUGAUAAUAUCUACAACUGUAUUAUAUAGAAAACAACGAAAAAUCAAGCGUUUUUGUCUUUAUGCAUAUAAUACCAAGUCGUGGUUGACCCAAGUCAAGUUUAUCAUUGCUAAUAGUCUAGUCUUUUGAAGCUUUCCGUUAGCUUUCAUCCACCAGGAAAGC
Molecule: long non-coding RNA, 2675 nt
Filed under: Lactuca sativa (garden lettuce)
Lineage: Eukaryota; Viridiplantae; Streptophyta; Magnoliopsida; Asterales; Asteraceae
Description: long non-coding RNA (LSAT_LNC001011)
Source: RNAcentral